GCCCGGUUAGCUCAAUCGGUAGAGUAAGUUGACACACUCACUAGAUCUUACAGACAAUUCAACUAACAAUCUAUAGGCGUGAGACUCUUAAUCUCAAGGUUGCGGGUUCGACCCCCGCAUCGGGCU
Molecule: non-coding RNA, 126 nt
Organism: Hypoxylon sp. CO27-5
Lineage: Eukaryota; Fungi; Ascomycota; Sordariomycetes; Xylariales; Hypoxylaceae
Source: the annotation of a GenBank genome assembly